Molecule: long non-coding RNA, 474 nt
Organism: Brassica oleracea var. oleracea
Lineage: Eukaryota; Viridiplantae; Streptophyta; Magnoliopsida; Brassicales; Brassicaceae
Exons: 3
Source: RefSeq, a predicted model, not a curated record
UUGGUAUAUAUGUAUCUUUCUAGUAACUCUUCUGAUACUCUCUUUGAGGUUGCUAUCUUGUUUCUCGUUGUUGUGUGAAGCAGUUUUUGUUAAUCGCCUACAUGUCCUUAGUUUAAGGGCCUCAGAAAGCGCUUGGUCAACUUGGUGUCUUGGUGAGCUGCAAGCGCUCUUCCAUAGUCUGCACGUGUAGAACUGGUUGGACCCGAUGUUCCACAACAUAUGUGAGUCGUACAUGUCAAAAACUUCUUAAUAUCUUCGACUGUUAUGGGACGGAGAGAUGACCUCCCUUUAAUUUGCAGCUAUGCACCUUGCAUGGAAGAAGACUGUGAAUAUACAUAUAUUACAUAGGGCACCUGAUUUUUAUUCAUUUGAGCCAUGUGUGUAAAAACACUUUAGGAUUUGAUAAAGAGAUCAAAGUUCCAGCGGUAUUCUCUGAUUACUGUGGAGAAGCUUGUCAUCUUGCGGCUUGUUGCG